AAGUCCAUAGAGAUGUUUUUGUCGACUGCCUCUUUGUUUCUCUGCGUUUUUUCCUCCUUUCUCCUUUCCUCUGUCUGAUUUUUCUCUUCUCUUCUCCUUUCUCAAUCAAAUUGAAUCUGUUCCCAACUCCACAACAUCAAUCGAUCUCAUCUUCUUCUCCUCCUCAUCCUCCUUUGUCUCUGUCUCUCUGUCUCUCUGUCUCUGUUCUUCUCCAAAACGGCAAAACCAAACCCGUGGAAAAGGAAAGCCCCAACCCAACCCGAAGUCUCUCCGAAUUUGUAGGAUCUUCUUCUUCAAGCCUUACCCUCUGCUACCAAUCUCAGAUUUCAGGCACAAUAACUGUGGUUCAGCAUCAAUUCUAUUCCAUGACAAACUAGACCUCCAAUGCUUUGCAGUUAAAUUAUUCUUGCAUCAGCUCUCCAACGUAGCUUGAAGCCCCAAUUGGGAAUUUGGAAUGGUAAGAAGCCUUGAAACUUGUUUUUACUAUUAUUAUGAAUCUAUUAAUGAUAUCCAUAUGAUAC
This is a non-coding RNA of Prunus avium (sweet cherry), 521 nucleotides long. The record is from RefSeq and is a predicted model, not a curated record. Lineage: Eukaryota; Viridiplantae; Streptophyta; Magnoliopsida; Rosales; Rosaceae.